This 398-nucleotide ribosomal RNA is filed under the name uncultured bacterium. RNAcentral's name for it is "bacterial SSU rRNA". It matches the Rfam family "Bacterial small subunit ribosomal RNA", at positions 361 to 776 of the family's 1533-position model. The record is from RNAcentral.
AUAUUGGACAAUGGGGGAAACCCUGAUCCAGCAAUGCCGCGUGAGAGAAGAAGGCCUUAGGGUUGUAAAGCUCUUUCACCCGUGAAGAUGAUGACGGUAGCGGGAGAAGAAGCCCCGGCUAACUCCGUGCCAGCAGCCGCGGUAAUACGGAGGGGGCUAGCGUUGUUCGGAAUUACUGGGCGUAAAGCGCACGUAGGCGGCGCGUCAAGUCAGGGGUGAAAGGCCUGGGCUCAACCUGGGAACGGCCUUUGAUACUGGCGUGCUGGAGUACGGGAGAGGGUGACGGAAUUCCCAGUGUAGAGGUGAAAUUCGUAGAUAUUGGGAAGAACACCGGUGGCGAAGGCGGUCACCUGGCCCGGAACUGACGCUGAGGUGCGAAAGCGUGGGGAGCAAACAGG